Gopherus evgoodei (Goodes thornscrub tortoise) is the source of this 543-nucleotide long non-coding RNA. RefSeq lists it as uncharacterized. Lineage: Eukaryota; Metazoa; Chordata; Testudines; Testudinidae. The record is from RefSeq and is a predicted model, not a curated record. The transcript has 3 exons.
GGCGCCAGCGGUGACGUCACAACGGGCAAAACCCGCGCGCGACACUAACCCCAACCUGGGGCCCCACGAGUGACCAACGGUCUCCAAGAUCUUCAACUGUGCAAGGAAGACAGGCGCUUCUUGUUGGGGAUUCCAUACUAACAAGAACAGAAAGAACAUUCUGCAAAGAACAGAUGGACAACAGGAUGGUGUGCUUCCCUGAACCAAGCUACGAGUCAUCACUCUAAUGGCAUGUCUAUACUUACAGUGAAUCAACGCUAUGGUGAUCGAUCCACCAGGGCUCAAUUUAGUGGGUCAAGUGAAGACCUGCUAAAUUGACUGCAGAUCGCUCUUUCAUUGACUCUGGUACUCCACCAGAAAUAAGAAACCUACGGGGCUGAAAAUAUCAGGGAGUAUGGUCACAAAAGCAAGGCACUUCUGUGCACAUCCAAAAUUCCUGCUGAAUUCAGAACACAACAGGACUGGUUCCCAUAUGCUUAAAGAACUGCAGUAAAGUGGAACAAUUUUCAGCUUGUGUGAUUGGAGGAUAUCUGAUCCAUAUUA